AUGGCAUGGGAAAGGCAGCCAUACAGCGCUCGUGAUCCAUCAACAGUGCUAGGUGCCUUAGUGCGCCAGAUGUAUCCACCGCCAAUUGGUCCAAAAAAUGAUCAGAAACCGGUAUUGUGUUGGGAGGACUACAAGUGGUCCCCUGGUCCAGAAGUAAGAACAACAGCUUCCAAAAUAGUGGAAGAAUUUUGGUGGCGUUUCAAGUGCGACCCAUCGGAGCAAGAGAAGUCAGAUGGUGUUUUGGAGGAGAACUUAACUAGGAAAGUGAAGCAGAUGCUACAUGAGGAAAAGGCGGCAGCCAUCAAAAGAUUAAAGAAGAAGGGACAAUUGCCUACAGAACUAACAGAAGAGGAUGAGGAUGGUAACCGCUGGACAACUAAGGAAGCUUUAAUUUCUGCAAAGAGAGUUGACUUUGGUACAGACGUUGGUUGGCAUCUACUAUUGGUGCUAGAAAUGUUGUCGCCACGCGUCAAUUUCUGA
Molecule: ribosomal RNA, 480 nt
Filed under: Triticum aestivum (bread wheat)
Lineage: Eukaryota; Viridiplantae; Streptophyta; Magnoliopsida; Poales; Poaceae
Description: partial small subunit ribosomal RNA
Source: RNAcentral